GAUCAUGGGCUCAGGAUGAACGCUAGCUACAGGCUUAACACAUGCAAGUCGAGGGGCAGCAUGUUGGUUGCUUGCAACCGAUGAUGGCGACCGGCGCACGGGUGAGUAACGCGUAUCCAACCUACCCUUGUCCAUCGGAUAACCCGUCGAAAGGCGGCCUAACACGAUAUGCGGUUCACAGCAGGCAUCUAACGUGAACGAAAUGUGAAGGAGAAGGAUGGGG
Molecule: ribosomal RNA, 223 nt
Filed under: uncultured bacterium
Lineage: Bacteria
Description: partial 16S ribosomal RNA
Rfam family: Bacterial small subunit ribosomal RNA
Source: RNAcentral